AAAAAUUUAUCUUUGGAAGAGUUAAUUAGGUGAAGUAAAACAUUCUAGUAACCUGUAAUAUAAAUCAAACGAGAAAAUGUUAGUAGUGGUGAGCGAAUAUAUUGUAAGGCAAAAAAGCAAGUAAAAUGUAUGAAUUCCAAAGAAGGUUUUAGUCCUGUAGUACUUUUUAUUUGUUUUUUAAUAAAUGACGGAUUAUGUUAAAUUUGUUGUUAAUUUAGGAGAUCUACCUUCGUGCCUAAAGUUUUUAAUGAUCGAUAGUGAACAAGUACCGUAAGGGAAAGGUGAAAAAGGACUUUUUUAGAGUGAAAAGAACCUAAAAUUUAGUGCAUUAAAGCUGUUAGAGCUAAUUAAUUAGUUAUAGCGUACCUUUUGCAUAAUGGGCCAGUGAGUUUAUAAGGAAGGCAAGUUUAAACUUCGUGUAGACAAAGAUAAGUCAAGAUUGUUUGAAAUAGUAGCUAUAGUCUUUUUUAUAAAACCCGAAGCUAAGUGAUCUAACCAUGAGCAGGUUGAUAUUUUUAUGGCAACGUAAUUUGGAGGACCGAACCCGUAUUUGUGGAAAAAAAUUGGGAUGACUUGUGGUUAGGGGUGAAAGGCUAAUCAAACUUAGGGAUAGCUGGUUUUCUGCGAAAUAUAUUUUAGUAUAGCCUGCAAUAAAUCAAAAUUUGGGUAGAGCACUUUUAAAGUAAAGGGGGUCGUAGACCUUACUAAACUUUGAAAAACUUCGAAUAAAUUUUUGAUACUUUUUGUGGAGUCAGACUAUCGGUGCAAAGGUCGAUAGUCCAUUGGGAAACAGCCCAGUAUAUUUAAUAAGGCCUUUAAUAUUAGUUAAGUGUUAAGAUUGCAAAUAACAGAGACGAUCAUAAAGUAGGCUUAGAAGCAGUCAUUUUUUUGAGAAAGCGUAACAGCUCAUUGAUUUAGUUAUUUUGUAUCAAAAAUUUAGUGAGUCUAAAUUAAUAGCCGACUUAGUAUUAUAGUUAGCAGAACGUUUUAUAUAUUGAUAAAGGUUAUUUGUUAAAAUAACUUUAAAUAAUAAAAGUGAGGAUACUGGCAUUAGUAGCUAAAAAUAACGAAAUAACGUUAUCGCCGUAAAUCUAAGGUUUUCGAUUCAAUUUUUAAAAAAAUCGUAAUUUUAAUUUAAAAAUAUGCGGUCCCUAAGGCAAAUUACAAAAGUAUAAGCUAAUGGGAAGU
RNAcentral lists this ribosomal RNA (1188 nucleotides) under Paraphysomonas bandaiensis. Its description in RNAcentral is "partial Bacterial large subunit ribosomal RNA". It matches the Rfam family "Bacterial large subunit ribosomal RNA", at positions 158 to 1426 of the family's 2925-position model. The record is from RNAcentral. Lineage: Eukaryota; Chrysophyceae; Chromulinales; Paraphysomonadaceae.